Pongo pygmaeus (Bornean orangutan) is the source of this 4424-nucleotide long non-coding RNA. RefSeq lists it as uncharacterized. The record is from RefSeq and is a predicted model, not a curated record. NCBI's taxonomy places the organism in Eukaryota, Metazoa, Chordata, Mammalia, Primates, Hominidae. The transcript has 4 exons.
GGAGCCAUGAGGAAUUCAUGCCUUGCACAGGGGAGGAGCCUGCCCUCUUGAGCUCUUGUGGUGACCUGGGAAUCAAUGUGUGAGGUGGUACUUUUUACCAGGAACCCCUCUCGCUUUGCAAAUAGUUUUUUGUUUGUUUGUUUUCCUUUUUUCCCAAUAGAACCCUGCUGUACUCACCCUUCAAUGUGCCCGUGUGUCUAAAUAUUCCUUGUCGUGUGAAAAGAACCCAGGUAUAAGCUGAACUAAGGAGCACAAUUCUGCAACGUUUUGGCACCCAAACGCCGGGCUUGAGAAAUGGCUUACCAAAAUCAAACUUCAGUUUCAAAAUUGUCUUUCUUGAUACCAGACCUUUGGAUGCUACAGAGGACACCUGCAACAUCAAAAAAAGAGGUAAGCAGGAUUAUCUGAUAUAUUUUAGGUACAUGGGAAUGACAAAAUGGUGUUCAAUCUUUUAUAGGUUGUAUUUUUGUGAAUAAUACUAAUAUACGUUCCAAACUUUUAUGGGAUUUAUACAAUUCUAAUGUUUGAGCAUAUACUGUCAAUCAUAAUUAUAGCUAUUAUGUUAAGUUAUUGUAAACCAUGGAGAUAACCAAAUUUAUUUGCCAAUCAUGUUUCUGACUGCAACUACCCUGGACAUUUUGUUACUCACAAACCAUUGUUGUCUUGUUUUGAUCCUAUCCUCUUCACAUGAUGUUUAUAAUCAGCUAUGGAACUUUGACAGGUGUUCUCAAAUGCAGGUUUCUGAUAACUUUGGAGAUUGUGACAUUGGAAUAAAGGAAAAACAUACAGGACUCAUGAAAAUUGAAAUGUUCAUGGAUAGCAAACAAAACAAGAGUUAACUGAAUGGACUGAACUAAUAGAAAACUGAAGUAAUCUUUUUAAAUUUUGCUUGGAAUAUUGCUGAUCAUUGUUUUGUUUUUCAGAGUCCAGGAAACUUAUUUAGAACUAUUUAUGACCUUUAAUAAUUGAGUAAGGUGUACUCCUGUGAAAAAUUUUGGAGCAUAUAUGUCUCUCUCUGCCUGGCUUCUCCAGAAUUUGGAAACUAAUAUUGAGUAUUCUUAACUUAUGGCAGUAUAGUCAUUUGCAUGAGUGCAAUAAGAAUCCUUUUUCUUUUGCAAUAGAAUGAAAUUGGAGAAACUGGUUGUUUUACCAGGCUUUGAUGGAAAUGUGUGCUUCCCUUCAAGGAGUCAAUCUCAACUUGCAAGGCUGAUGGGAACCCCUUUGGAAAACUGGCCUCAAACGUUUGUCUACACAGUCCACAUACAGGGUUCUUAACCUGCGGCCAUCGAACUCCAAACGAUCUGCACCUGGAGCCUUGGAUGAUGGCCUUUUUUACUGGGAACCCUGAAAUAGGCCUCUGAGGGAAAUCUGACUGCCAUUUUCCCAAAACAGCUUCCCUGUCAGUAGGAAGCAAUUAGGAUUGGUUUUCAUCCUUAUCUUUAUCCUUAUUCAAAUGGCAGUUAGAGGUACUUCUUUAGAGGGGGGAAUGAGACAGCCAAAUGCCUAGGCAGAUAAAAAGGUGUCCCCGGAGAAUUUCCGACCUGUCACACAAGUAUUUACAUCAGAUGCUUUUAUGUAGAUGAGGGAGACUUCCCAGGGCUUGUCUGGGUAUGCCCACAGUGGACUGGAGCCCAGCAUGCACACUGGAGGAAGUGGGUGGAGCCACGCGGAAGUCAUGCCUUAUGCAGGGGAGGAACCUGCUCUCUUCAGCUCCUGUGGUAACGUGGGAAUCGAUCUGUGAGGAAACACUUUCUGAAAAUGUCAGAACUCUUGAAAACAUGGAUGAGGAAAAGCAUAAGGACUGCUUUAUGCUUGUCUUAUGAAUUUUAAAAUAUGUAAUUUAAAGAUACUUUAAAGUGAUAUUUGUGCCCUUGUUAACUGAUUCAAAGUAGACUGCUAAGGACAGUAAGUAAUAAGAGUCUACAAAUAUCAAUAAAUUAUGAGAAAAAACGGUCUAAUGGUACUUAAAAUUGCAUUGUGAUUUAUUAAAUAACAUAUUGAACAGCUCCACCUGUAACAUUAAGAUUCCAUUUGAGCAUAUAGAAAAUAUAUUUAUCGCAACCUGAAGUGAUUUGGAAAGUAUGCUGGGAAGAAAAUAUAUUUACAUAUUAGUCUCAGAGGGUAGGUAUCCUGUAGCCAGAUGGAAUAAGAAGAGAGGGAAGGGAGAUUUUGGUCAAAGGGGGAGCAUAAGCUGAGGAAUAAAGCCACAAACAAGGAUUAAAUUAGGUAAAGUGCAAUUGGCUGAAUAUUGCAUAAGCAUACAUAUGGGAAGAAGUGGAAAAAGGAGUGACAAUAUGAAGCUAAAGGGUUUGAAGUGUUCAAGAUAAUACUAGGCUUCCUAGCCUAUUCCGAGAAAUCUUAUUUUAGAGUGCAAUAGAUAAGAACUUUAAGGAUGAAGGUAGGAGACAUGCAUUCUAGUCUAUGUUUUGGUUAAUGGACUGAAAGUGAAAGGACUGAAAUUGGGGGAUGGAAUAAAAAUGUGAUAGAAUUGAAAAUAGAAAAAUCAAUUAGCCUAAUGUCAUUGAUGCUUAGAGAAAAUAUGGAAAAUAGUAAAUUAGUGAUAUACAUCUUUUCUAAUUCACCAGGGUGAGUGAACAAAGGAAAUCAGAUUUAAAAGUAUUUAUGACAUAUAUGCAAUAAGGUUUCUCAGUCAGACAUAGUAAAUUGAGAGAAGGGAAGAUUUAGAGGAUUGUAAAAUGUCUUGCUUGUAGACUAAUAGGAUAUCAGUAAGCAAUAUGAGCAAUAAUUUGAAAUCGUUUUUGUAAAGUAUCAUGAAGGUAAACCUUGUUUAGAACAAAUUAGAUUUGAAGUACUUGUGACAAAUGCAGUUAACAAUGCCUUUAUGAAGCUGGAGAAUUGUUGCUUAGCAGAAAAGCUUGUGCUGGACAAAUAGAUGUCCAAAUUGAAUAGAUGUUUUCUUAAGCUGAACUAAUUGAGACAAAUAUCCUUAUUAAAUCAAAAAAUUAAAAAUUGAAAUAACCUAUGAUAGGGUAAAUAAUUUUAUUAAUAUACACAAGAAAUAUGUGAUGUAUAUGUAUGUACAUAUGUAUACAUAGUAAUAAUACAUAGUGCUAUAUUUAAAUGAUAUUUUACAUAGUGCUUUUUCAAAUGAUUUUUCAAUUAUUGUUGUUGGUCUGUGUUAUUUUAAUCAUCAAAGCUGAUUGAUUUCUGUUCUUGUGUUUUGUUUUUUUUUUUGUUUUUUUGAGGUGGACUCUCACUCUGUCACCCAUGGUGGAGUACAGUAGUGCGGUCUUAGCUCACUACAAACGCCACCUCCCGGAUUCAAGUAAUUCUUGUGUCUCAGCCUCUCGAGUAGCUUGGAUUGCAGGCAUGCACCACCAUGAGCUGCAAAAUUUUUUGUAUUUUUUGUAGAGACGGGUUUUGCCAUGUUGGCCAAGCUGGUCUCAAACUCCUGACCUCAAGUGAUCCGCCCUGGCUUCCCAAGCCCAGCUGAUUCCUGUUUAAAUAAAAACUUACAAAGAUCUUCCCACAAGCACUUUAUCUUACAAUUUACUGAACAAUAGAGGCAGUGAAGAUGUUUUUCAGAAAGCAAUUGUGAUCCUGACAUUUUCUUCUUAUAAUCCUGUGCUUUCCUCAUGUUUUUUCAUAUUAAAAGUAAUAGUUCUUGUGAUGGCACCUAGGAUUUGUAACAACCUGUACCCUCAUACCUUCUUUAUAUCACUUCUCCAAAUGCAAAGUAUACUCCCUCAGUGUCAUUACAUUAUUUGAUUUUUGCCCUGUUCCCUCACCUUUCCAUGUGUUUGUUUGCCUAUGCCCAUCUCCUAGUCACAUUUUAUCUAGUUAAUGCCAACUUGACUUUCAAUGCUGUUCAAGAUUUACCUCAAUCUCAGUGUUUUCUCUUUAUAGUCCAUGCAUGCUUGUCUUGGUUGCCAAUCCUCUUGGCUGCCAAAGAAUCCCAAAUUAUCUCUUUCAAAAAUACAAGAAAUGAAGGAGGACAGGAAGGAAGGCGGUCAGGAAAGAACAAAGAAAGGAGGGGAGAGAAAAAAAGACAGAAAGAAAGAGAAUUAAAGUUAAGGAGGAAGAAUUUCACACUGAAUUAAAAUUGGUAAUAUUCAGGGAUGAUUUUAUAGUAGGCAUACAGUGGUAAAUAUUAGUUAAAUUAUUGAAUUAUUCCAAAAGAUGAUUUGUAAAAAUUACCCUGAAGCAUUUUAGGAAUGUUACAUUGAAGUAGGUAUGCAAUUUCAAAAGAAACUGGACUGCAAAAAUAGCCAUUGUGUGUACCUGUGGACCAGAAUAUUAUAUUUUGCUUAAGUUUGAAGUGUUAAAGUGCCCAACUUGCUCUUAUUUUAACCUAGCAAAUUUUCAGCAGAACUUAAGAUUAUAUAGUAUUUGAUUUUUUCAUUUCUCACAACAGUUGGAAUUCUAUUUUAUUGAAAAUUAUACAAUAAAAUGUUAAAAAAUCU